CUACGGGAUGCUCCAGUCGAGAAUAGUCUACAAUGGACGAAAGUCUGAUAGUGCGACGCCGCGUGGAUGAAGAAGCAUUUCGGUGUGUAAAGUCCUUUUCUGUGUGAGCAAUGUUUUCCAGGUUAAUAGCUUGGAGAAAGCGAUAUUAACACAGGAAUAAGCUCCGGCUAACUCCGUGCUAGCAGCCGCGGUAACACGGGGGAGCAAGCGUUGUCCGGAAUUACUAGGCGUAAAGGGUAAGUAGGCGGAAUUGUAAGUCAGAUGUUAAAGGCACCGGCUCAACCGGUGUAUGGCAUUUGAUACUGUAAUUCUAGAGUAAGGUGGGGGAAGACGGAAUUCCUGGUGUAGCGGUGGAAUACGCAGAUAUCAGGAGGAGCACCAGAGGCGCAGGCGGUCUUCUAUACCAUUACUGACGCUCAAUUACGAAGGUGUGGGUAUCAAACAGGAUUAGAUACCCGCGUAGUC
This 465-nucleotide ribosomal RNA is filed under the name uncultured bacterium. Its description in RNAcentral is "partial 16S ribosomal RNA". It matches the Rfam family "Bacterial small subunit ribosomal RNA", at positions 339 to 795 of the family's 1533-position model. The record is from RNAcentral.